GUGGGGAAUAUUGGACAAUGGGCGAAAGCCUGAUCCAGCAACGCCGCGUGAGGGAUGACUGCCUUCGGGUUGUAAACCUCUUUCAGCGGGGACGAAGCGAAAGUGACGGUACCCGCAGAAGAAGCACCGGCCAACUACGUGCCAGCAGCCGCGGUAAUACGUAGGGUGCGAGCGUUGUCCGGAAUUAUUGGGCGUAAAGGGCUCGUAGGCGGUUUGUCACGUCGGGAGUGAAAACUCAGGGCUCAACCCUGAGCCUGCUUCCGAUACGGGCAGACUAGAGGUAUGCAGGGGAGAACGGAAUUCCUGGUGUAGCGGUGAAAUGCGCAGAUAUCAGGAGGAACACCGGUGGCGAAGGCGGUUCUCUGGGCAUUACCUGACGCUGAGGAGCGAAAGUGUGGGGAGCGAACAGGAUUAGAAACCCUUGUAGUCC
This 430-nucleotide ribosomal RNA is filed under the name uncultured bacterium. RNAcentral's name for it is "bacterial SSU rRNA". It matches the Rfam family "Bacterial small subunit ribosomal RNA", at positions 354 to 796 of the family's 1533-position model. The record is from RNAcentral.